GCCAGAAUGGUUUAGUGGUUUGAGUGCUGGACUAGGACCCCAGGAGACCAGGGUUUGAAUCCCCACUCAGCCA
Phrynosoma platyrhinos (Desert horned lizard) is the source of this 73-nucleotide non-coding RNA. The record is from the annotation of a GenBank genome assembly. NCBI's taxonomy places the organism in Eukaryota, Metazoa, Chordata, Lepidosauria, Squamata, Phrynosomatidae.